GCCCAUUGAAUAUUACCACUGAUCCAAAUGUUGUUUCAGCUGAACCAGUAGAGAAGCUUACAGUUCCUACUAAUUUUGAUUCUUCACAAAUUCCUGGACCACAAGAAUGUAGUGAAUUGUUUAAUCCAACAGCUCAGCCUACAGACAAGUCUGCCAAUGUAUCUGAAAAAAAUGUGCUAAGUUCUGGACAAAUAGCAAAUUCCUGGACCACAAGAAUGUAAUGAAUUGCUUAAUCCAACAGCUCAGCCUACAGACAAGUCUGCCAAUGUAUCUGAAAAAAUGUGCUAAGUUAUGGACAAAUAGGUGUGACUGUUGACAAUAAUGCAGGAUUGAAGGAAAUGUUUGGUCGAUCUGAUUCAGCAGUAACACAUGGGGCAAUUCACAUUACUGCAGACCACAAAAUUACUAGUGCACAGACUAGGCAGUUGGUCGAUCCUAAUGGACAACAUCUCAGAUGCAAUAUACAGCUGAUUGGAG
This 477-nucleotide long non-coding RNA is filed under the name Nicotiana benthamiana. RNAcentral describes it as "long non-coding RNA (NBEN_LNC005470)". Lineage: Eukaryota; Viridiplantae; Streptophyta; Magnoliopsida; Solanales; Solanaceae. The record is from RNAcentral.